CAGCACCAGCGCUUUUGCAGAACAUGGAUUGUAAUAUCCAAUAGCUGAUGGGUGUGAACAUGGAUUUUAAUAUCCACCAACUUAUGAUGGGCACUGAGUUUGAACAUGGAUUGUAAUAUCCAACAGUCCAGUCAUGGGGCUGAAAUAGUUCUUUCCUUGUUGGACCUUAACUGUCAGAUGAGAGAGUAAGAUGCGUAGAGUAAGAUGUGUAGAUUAAGAUGUGUAGAGUAAGAUGCAUAGAGUAAGAUGUGUAGAUUAAGAUGUGUAGAGUAAGAUGCGUAGAGUUAGAUGUGUAGAGUAAGACAUGUAGAGUAAGAUGCGUAGAGUUAGAUGUGUAGAGUAAGAUGUGUAGAGUAAGAUGUGUAGAGUUAGAUGUGUAGAGUAAGACGUGUAGAGUAAGAUGUGUAGAGUAAGAUGCGUAGAGUUAGAUGUGUAGAGUAAGAUGCGUAGAGUAAGAUGUGUAGAGUAAGAUGUGUAGAGUAAGAUGUGUAGAGUUAGAUGUGUAGAGUAAGAUGCGUAGAGUUAGAUGCGUAGAAUAAGAUAUGCACCGACCAACGUAUGAUGGAGCCCAUGUAGUAAGGAGUAGAUUCACACAAAAAAAACUUUAAGAUCUUCAUCAAUCAUUUGUUAUUAACACAUAAAUCAUGUGUUAUUAUCAGACCUUCAUUCUUCAGGCGUAUAUCCCUUUGUCUGUGACGCUGUACAUCUUUUGGCACCCCCCAUUUCACCACAACCAUCCUCCUGCCCUUAAUUAAAGAGUCCUAGUUUAAGGAGAAAAAAACGAUCAAACAGCAAGUGAGAUGAGGCCUGCAGCUGCUGCAGAGCUCACAGGGGAGGAGCGAAAAAUUAACCAUGGUAACAUCUCAUGGAAAAAUAUUAAAUUCAUGGCUUGUUUUUAUCAUUCUUGGCAAGCAUUCAUUUUUGGAGACUCGAGUUGCUCCCUGAUACACACUAAGAUAUAGAAGUAUAUGGCCACUUGUUUCAUAGCAAUUUAACCCAAAUUGUUGAAAUUGAGAGUUCAUCCAGGCUUUUAUUCAAUCAGUCUUUGCGGUCUGUGGGGGUUACUGCCAUCAUUAGCAAUCAUUCCAGCUCAGAAAGAAUAGUUAGAAGUUUACAUCACCUAGUUCUCAGUGUCAGUUAGAGAUAUAAGUGGCAUUUUUUGAUAAAGCUUCUGUUGCACAUCUUGAAGUGGC
Clupea harengus (Atlantic herring) is the source of this 1193-nucleotide long non-coding RNA. The record is from Ensembl. Lineage: Eukaryota; Metazoa; Chordata; Actinopteri; Clupeiformes; Clupeidae.